This 377-nucleotide long non-coding RNA is filed under the name Glycine max (soybean). RNAcentral describes it as "long non-coding RNA (GMAX_LNC004180)". Lineage: Eukaryota; Viridiplantae; Streptophyta; Magnoliopsida; Fabales; Fabaceae. The record is from RNAcentral.
CAUACUUUAUCGGGACAAAGAUUAAUUUUGGUAUGUGAUUGUCAAUGAUUCAAAGAAUUUUACAUACGAAACAUUAUUUCACUAAAUAAAUCAUUUCUUACAUUUUUGAAUCCAAUGUAGUUUUAGGUGUAUACCAUUACAUUAAUCUUAUGGGUUGCAUUUUGUUGUUUUGCAAGCUGCUUCAAUUUUUCUUUUCAAAAAAAGAAAGACAUUAAGAAAGAAGACAUACAACACCAUAUAGACCAUAUUGACAUCACGUGUUCUCCCAUUUUCAUACAAAUCAUCCCACAAAACUCAGGCGCACGCGGUUUAUGGCUUUUGAGUAGCACCUGCAGCCAUGGUGAGGAAAUAUUUUUCUAAAAAAUGACAUGGAGAAG